UACAGAGGUCUCAAGCGUUGUUCGGAUUCAUUGGGCGUAAAGGGUGCGUAGGUGGCGUGGUAAGUGGGGUGUGAAAUCCCGAGGCUCAACCUCGGGACUGCAUUCCAUACUGCCAUGCUUGAGGACUGGAGAGGAGACUGGAAUUCACGGUGUAGCAGUGAAAUGCGUAGAGAUCGUGAGGAAGACCAGUGGCGAAGGCGGGUCUCUGGACAGUUCCUGACACUGAGGCACGAAGGCCAGGGGAGCAAACGGG
Molecule: ribosomal RNA, 253 nt
Filed under: uncultured bacterium
Lineage: Bacteria
Description: partial 16S ribosomal RNA
Rfam family: Bacterial small subunit ribosomal RNA
Source: RNAcentral